Molecule: long non-coding RNA, 212 nt
Filed under: Elaeis guineensis (African oil palm)
Lineage: Eukaryota; Viridiplantae; Streptophyta; Magnoliopsida; Arecales; Arecaceae
Description: long non-coding RNA (EGUI_LNC057164)
Source: RNAcentral
GUGGAUGUCUUGGAUUUUGAUCAUAGCCGUGUAUGCGUCUGACCUCUAUUGAUAUCUAUAUGAAGAUGCCUGAUCAGAGCACCGAGAUCAUUGAUGUGCUAGUACCUUAUAGAUCUUGCUCGUCAGUUUUGGAUCUGCAUCUCUUCUUUUAGAUCGUAAAGAAAAAGAUCGCUGCGCCAACUCUUUCGCAUAGAUCCAUCGGGAUCUAAACC